GACGAACGCUGGCGGCGUGCCUAACACAUGCAAGUCGAACGGAAAGGCCCCCAUGUGGGGCACUUGAGUGGCGAACGGGUGGGUAACGCGAGAGUAACCUACCCUUCACUUUGGGCUAACUUCAGGACACUGGGGCUAAUACCGGAUAGGAGCUUCUGCUGCACGGUGGGGGUUGGGAAGUUUCGGCGGUUGGGGCUGGACUCGCGGCUGAUCAGCUUUUUGGUGGGGUAGUGGCACACCACGGCCUAGACGGGUAGCCGGCCUGAGAGCGUAGCCGGCGACAAUGGGACUGAGAGACGGCCCAGACGCCUACGGGAGGCAGUAGGGGGGAGCCUUGCACAAUGAGCGGAAGCCGGUUACAGCGGCGCCGCGUGCGGGAUGCCGGCUUUCGGGUUGAGAACCGCUUUCGCCUGAGACGAAGCGGGAGUGACGGUAAUGGGUAAAGAAGCACCGGCUAACUACGUG
This 465-nucleotide ribosomal RNA is filed under the name uncultured bacterium. RNAcentral's name for it is "partial 16S ribosomal RNA". It matches the Rfam family "Bacterial small subunit ribosomal RNA", at positions 28 to 507 of the family's 1533-position model. The record is from RNAcentral.